UUGCGCGCUCAGUUUCCGACUGGCUGAAGAACGAAAUCGCAAGCAAUGAAACAUUGCUGUAUAUUCCUGAGUCUGUAUCGCAAGAGGAGACAGACCAACCUACAAAAGAAGUGUGAAGGACAACAAAUCUAAAUUACAAGAAACAAAGAUAAGUGAACAAGUUCCAAAUCAAAAGAAAUAUUUGCUGAACUUAAUGAAAGAUGCCAAGGAAUUUCGUCGUGUUUGGAAAAAAUGGUUGGGACGUUUUGCAGUGAGAUAAUGCAAAGAAGAAGUAGUAUCAUAGCUUCUAAAGAAGGUUAUAACGCCUACAGUUUAUAAGCUUGUAACGCCAGUCUUGUGAACCUGUGCCAAAGAGAGUGUGCUACUCUUCAAAAUGUCCUCCAACGUGUUCUUCAAAAGUGAUGUUGAAAGCCUGUUCGACUUUCGUUACUAUGCUUGGCGCUUUAAAUCUUUAAUUUAUUAUUGUGUUAUGUUGUUUGUUGCUGUACAUUUUUUAUUUUAGAAAAAUAU
Long non-coding RNA from Saccostrea cuccullata (small rock oyster), 510 nucleotides. RefSeq lists it as uncharacterized. NCBI's taxonomy places the organism in Eukaryota, Metazoa, Mollusca, Bivalvia, Ostreida, Ostreidae. The transcript is spliced from 3 exons. The record is from RefSeq and is a predicted model, not a curated record.